UAACUCAUUGAAACAGUUCUG
RNAcentral lists this non-coding RNA (21 nucleotides) under Caenorhabditis elegans. The record is from RNAcentral. Lineage: Eukaryota; Metazoa; Nematoda; Chromadorea; Rhabditida; Rhabditidae.